UCCCUGGUAGUUCAGUGGUUAAGACUUUGCACUUUCAAUGCAAGGGAUGCAGGUUUGAUCCCUGGUCAGGGAA
Budorcas taxicolor (takin) is the source of this 73-nucleotide non-coding RNA. The record is from the annotation of a RefSeq genome assembly. NCBI's taxonomy places the organism in Eukaryota, Metazoa, Chordata, Mammalia, Artiodactyla, Bovidae.